UCCCGUGUGGCUCAGUUGGUAGAGCAUGGUGUUUGCAACGCCAGGGUUGUGGGUUAGAUUCCCACGGGGGAA
Molecule: transfer RNA, 72 nt
Filed under: Salmo salar (Atlantic salmon)
Lineage: Eukaryota; Metazoa; Chordata; Actinopteri; Salmoniformes; Salmonidae
Rfam family: tRNA
About the family: Transfer RNA (tRNA) molecules are approximately 80 nucleotides in length. Their secondary structure includes four short double-helical elements and three loops (D, anti-codon, and T loops).
Source: Rfam by way of RNAcentral